RNAcentral lists this ribosomal RNA (429 nucleotides) under Chloroflexota bacterium. Its description in RNAcentral is "Chloroflexi bacterium partial 16S ribosomal RNA". It matches the Rfam family "Bacterial small subunit ribosomal RNA", at positions 355 to 776 of the family's 1533-position model. Lineage: Bacteria; Bacillati; Chloroflexota. The record is from RNAcentral.
UGGGGAAUAUUGCACAAUGGGCGCAAGCCUGAUGCAGCCAUGCCGCGUGUGUGAAGAAGGCCUUCGGGUUGUAAAGCACUUUCAGCGGGGAGGAAGGCGUUAAGGUUAAUAACCUUGGCGAUUGACGUUACCCGCAGAAGAAGCACCGGCUAACUCCGUGCCAGCAGCCGCGGUAAUACGGAGGGUGCAAGCGUUAAUCGGAAUUACUGGGCGUAAAGCGCACGCAGGCGGUCUGUCAAGUCGGAUGUGCAAUCCCCGGGCUCAACCUGGGAACUGCAUCUGAUACUGGCAAGCUUGAGUCUCGUAGAGGGGGGUAGAAUUCCAGGUGUAGCGGUGAAAUGCGUAGAGAUCUGGAGGAAUACCGGUGGCGAAGGCGGCCCCCUGGACGAAGACUGACGCUCAGGUGCGAAAGCGUGGGGAGCAAACAGG